RNAcentral lists this unclassified non-coding RNA (455 nucleotides) under Hevea brasiliensis (rubber tree). Lineage: Eukaryota; Viridiplantae; Streptophyta; Magnoliopsida; Malpighiales; Euphorbiaceae. The record is from RNAcentral.
CAUGACAUAUAACAUUGGUCAUACAUGGACGGAUUUAUAGAGAUUCGUCUCUAACAAAUUUGAUUUUGCCGGAGUUAUACUUCACUACCUGCUGCUGCUUUGCUGUUCACGUCGGAGAAAAAUGGAGGGGAAGCACAGGCUGAUGCUGGUUUUGCUUCUCGUCGGCGGCUGCUUGUUAUUGGUGUCGGAGCUCUCGCUGGAAAAUGGAGAGGAAAAGCGAUCUGUUACGUUUUCGGACGGACUUGCCUACAUCUCUGGUGGUAUCAUCAGUCGGAGCUGCUGAUGGCGUCAGCUAUUGCUGCUCCUCGCCUGGAUGCUGCAUGUUGUUGUUAUACGCCCUCGCCGGAGAAAGAGAAGAGAGGAUAGAGGAGGGAGAGCUGCUGAGGGAGAAGACGAAGAGAGCAACGAAGAGGAGGUGCUGAUGCCUCCUCUGGUUUCGCCGGAGGAGAAGAGAG